GGAGGAGUGGAUCUGGGGGGAUGACUCACCAGCUCAGGUGAUGAGUGAUCUGUUAGCUUGCUAGUGCCUAUGGAGAGGUGUAAAUUGGGCAAGAGGCAAUGUGUUUGUCAGUGAAAGCCACAAAAUUCAUGUGAACAUGUGACCUUUGCGUCAGCUUUGUUUAAUAAAGUUUAUCUUUCUGUUAUCAGCCAUGGCAAAUCUGUUUAGAAGAGGAUGAUUCUCAAGAGUCUUGAAUGUCAAUCUGGUAUGCUGGAUCAAAAUCAAAAGCAAGAAGGAUGAUACCAAGAGUAGAAGGGAUUGUCAAUAAUUAUAUUUUCAUUUUGCAUGUUGAAACUAAAGCCUGGUUGAUAAGAAAUCAAAGAGAGAUUGAAAAGUCAUGAGAAGUAAGAUGAGAUUUUAAAAGCAAGAAUGUAACAGUAAAAGAGAGAGUAUUGUGCAAGACCUGGAUCUUUCCCAAAGUAACAGAGUGAAGUUUGAGUAAUGGGAUGGGUUCUAAAUUGUGGGACUUACACUUUGAUGGGUCAAGUAGUGGAAAGUUUGGAAUGAGUAUAGGCAUUGUUUUACAAGGACACUAGGAUAAAAAAACAUAUGACAUUGAAAAAAUUAGAAAAGAACACAUCUUGUAAACAAACCAAAUACAACAUCCUAGCUCAAGGAUUAGAGGUAGCUUAACAAAUUGGAGUUGAAAACGUAUUAGUGCAAAGAGGCUCAAAGUUAGUUUGUCAACAAGGGGUUGGAGAUUAGUAAGUCAAGUUUGAUGGCUUACAACCAUUGCACCAAAAGGUUUUAGAACUAAAGAGUAGAUUUAAUACUUUUUCUAUCAGCCAUAUUUAUAAAACAGAAAACCAAUUAGUUGACUAGUUAGCAAAAACAUCUAGUCUUCUAUGUUUUGAAUUCAAGGCAUUUCAUACUAAGCCAAGGCGGUUUUUGGAUCAACAUCAACCACCACUACCACCACCAUUGGAUGUGAUUGAUGACCAAUAAGAGUAUAAAGUGGACAACAUUUUGGAGUAUUGUUGCCUUUCCUAU
RNAcentral lists this long non-coding RNA (1029 nucleotides) under Physcomitrium patens. Its description in RNAcentral is "long non-coding RNA (PPAT_LNC003011)". The record is from RNAcentral. Lineage: Eukaryota; Viridiplantae; Streptophyta; Bryopsida; Funariales; Funariaceae.